GAUGAACGCUGGCGGCGUGCCUAAUACAUGCAAGUCGAGCGAACGGACGAGAAGCUCGCGUCUCUGAUGUUAGCGGCGGACGGGUGAGUAACACGUGGAUAACCUACAUAUAAGACUGGGAUAACUUCGGGAAACCGGAGAUAAUACCGGAUAAUAUUUUGCACCGCAAGGAUAAAAAGUGAAAGACGGUCUUGCUGUCACUUAUUGAUCUAUCCGCGCUGCAUUAGCUAGUUGGUAAGGUAACGGCUUACCAAGGCAACGAUGCAUAGCCGACCUGAGAGGGUGAUCGGCCACACUGGAACUGAGACACGGUCCAGACUCCUACGGGAGGCAGCAGUAGGGAAUCUUCCGCAAUGGGCGAAAGCCUGACGGAGCAACGCCGCGUGAGUGAUGAAGGUCUUCGGAUCGUAAAACUCUGUUAUUAGGGAAGAACAUAUGUGUAAGUAACUGUGCACGUCUUGACGGUACCUAAUCAGAAAGCCACGGCUAACUACGUG
This 497-nucleotide ribosomal RNA is filed under the name uncultured bacterium. RNAcentral's name for it is "partial 16S ribosomal RNA". It matches the Rfam family "Bacterial small subunit ribosomal RNA", at positions 28 to 507 of the family's 1533-position model. The record is from RNAcentral.